CCUACGGGAGGCAGCAGUGAGGAAUAUUGGUCAAUGGUCGGGAGACUGAACCAGCCAAGCCGCGUGAGGGAUGAAGGUACAGAGUAUCGUAAACCUCUUUUGUCAGGGAACAAAGGCGGGGACGUGUCCCCGGAUGAGUGUACCUGAAGAAAAAGCAUCGGCUAACUCCGUGCCAGCAGCCGCGGUAAUACGGAGGAUUCAAGCGUUAUCCGGAUUUAUUGGGUUUAAAGGGUGCGUAGGCGGUCGGAUAAGUUAGAGGUGAAAUCCCGAGGCUCAACUUCGGAAUUGCCUCUGAUACUGUUCGGCUAGAGAGUAGUUGCGGUAGGCGGAAUGUAUGGUGUAGCGGUGAAAUGCGUAGAUAUUAGGAGGAACACCAGUGGCGAAGGCGGCUUGCUGGACUGUAACUGACACUGAGGCUCGAAAGCGUGGGGAGCAAACAGGAUUAGAUACCCGGGUAGUC
This 460-nucleotide ribosomal RNA is filed under the name uncultured bacterium. RNAcentral's name for it is "partial 16S ribosomal RNA". It matches the Rfam family "Bacterial small subunit ribosomal RNA", at positions 338 to 795 of the family's 1533-position model. The record is from RNAcentral.